This 221-nucleotide long non-coding RNA is filed under the name Carica papaya (papaya). RNAcentral describes it as "long non-coding RNA (CPAP_LNC002862)". The record is from RNAcentral. Lineage: Eukaryota; Viridiplantae; Streptophyta; Magnoliopsida; Brassicales; Caricaceae.
GUUCCUUUUACAGCUGGAAUAUGCAAAUAACAGGUUGAACUGAACACCUUUAAAUAAUUUGCUGAUGGCUUUACCUCUGACCAAGCUUCUAUAGGUGUUUUAACCUCCACAGCUUAGUUGGUGACCUAUUCAAUACAUACACCGAAGUAUAUGCUGUCUCAACCCAAAAUUGCUUAGGUAAAGACUUAUCAUCAAACGCCUUGCCAUUUCUACAGCAGCCC